This is a non-coding RNA of Struthio camelus australis, 334 nucleotides long. The record is from RefSeq and is a predicted model, not a curated record. Lineage: Eukaryota; Metazoa; Chordata; Aves; Struthioniformes; Struthionidae.
UCUUUCCUUUCCUGGAGUCAGAAGUCCAGAAAACAACAAAUGAAUGACUCUUUCUAUGAGGAGUUAAAUGCUUGCAGAUCACAGAGUUCAAAGGAUGUGUCACGUAAAUGCUUCGGGGACAACCUACAUUCCUCAUCAGCAUGUAUGAAGGACUGGAUCAUCUUUAAUGAACAGAACCUCCCAAGGUUCUCUGCAACUGGAAAGAGGAAAGGAAGAAUAAACUGCACUUCCUGAUUUUGCAGAGAGGUCACCGAGACACCAAGGGCCUAUCACCAACAGUAUUACUGCAUAACAUGGGAGGAACAGAGCUAGAUCCAGAACAGCAUAAAGAUAU